RNAcentral lists this ribosomal RNA (253 nucleotides) under uncultured bacterium. Its description in RNAcentral is "partial 16S ribosomal RNA". It matches the Rfam family "Bacterial small subunit ribosomal RNA", at positions 524 to 776 of the family's 1533-position model. The record is from RNAcentral.
UACGGAAUGUGCAACCGUUAUUCGGAAUCACUGGGCUUAAAGAGUCCGUAGGCGGCUUGUUAGGUGAGGUGUGAAAGCCCUCGGCCCAACCGAGUAAUUGCGCUUCAAACCGGCAAGCUAGAGGAGGAUAGAGGUGGGCGGAACUGAUGGUGGAGCGGUGAAAUGCGUUGAUAUCAUCAGGAACACCGGAGGCGAAGGCGGUCCACUGGGUCCUUUCUGACGCUGAGGGACGAAAGCUAGGGGAGCGAACGGG